Molecule: ribosomal RNA, 3316 nt
Filed under: Dioscorea cayenensis subsp. rotundata (Guinea yam)
Lineage: Eukaryota; Viridiplantae; Streptophyta; Magnoliopsida; Dioscoreales; Dioscoreaceae
Description: eukaryotic LSU rRNA
Rfam family: Eukaryotic large subunit ribosomal RNA (bases 419-2629)
Source: RNAcentral
ACGACUCUCGGCAACGGAUAUCUCGGCUCUCACAUCGAUGAAGAACGUAGCGAAAUACGAUACUUGGUGUGAAUUGCAGAAUCCCGUGAACCAUCGAGUCUUUGAACGCAAGUUGCGCCCGAGGCCACCCGGCAGAGAACACGCCUGCCUGGGCGUCAUGUGAAUGAGUCGCUCCGGCGCGCGCGCGCGCGGCCGGACGCGGAGACUGGCCUCCCGCCACGCGGCAGGCCGAAGACCUGCGGUCGCCCUCCCCCGGAGCAGGGCGGGGCGCGAUGAUCGUUGGACCGGCCUCGCGCCGAGAUCCCGAGGUCGUCGCGCCCCCUCCGCGCAGGGUGGGGGGCAACCUGCGCCGCUAACGGAUGACAAGGGCCGCCACGAAGGGGGGGGAUGACCCCCCCUUCCGCAGGCCCUCGCGCCGCGACCCCAGGUCAGGCGGGGUCACCCGCUGAGUUUAAGCAUAUCAAUAAGCGGAGGGAAAGAAACUUACGAGGAUUCCCCUAGUAACAGUGAGUGAACCGAGAAGAGCCCAGCUUGAGAAUCGGGCGGUGACGCUGCCCGAAUUGUAGUCUGCAGAAGCGUCCUCAGCGACGGACGGGGCCCAAGUCCCCUGGAAAGCGGUGCCGGAGAGGGUGAGAGUCCCGUCGUGUCCGGACCCUGCCGCACCACGAGGCGCUGUCGGUGAGUCGGGUUGUUUGGGAAUGCAGCCCCAAUCGGGCGUUAAAUUCCGUCCAAGGCUGAAUACGGGCGACAGACUGAUAGCGAACAAGUACCGCGAGGGAAAGAUAAAAAGGACUUUGAAAAGAGAGUCAAAGAGUGCUUGAAAUUACCGGGAGGGAAGCAGAUGGGGGCCGGCGAUGCGGCCCGGCCGGAUGCGGAAUGGCGACGAGCCGGUCCGUCGCUCGCCUCGGGCUGUGGACCGAUGCGGGCCGCCCGGGCGUAUGACCCCGCCCGAGGAGACGCCGCCGGCGCGGCCGUGGACAGAGCGCGCGCCAGCCCCUUGGCGUGCCCACCCGCGGCACGGCCGUGCUCCAGGCACCGCCCCGCGGGCUCCCCAUCCGACCCGUCUUGAAACACGGACCAAGGAAUCUGACAUGAGUGCGAGCCAACGGGUGCGGAAACCCGGAAGGCGCAAGGAAACUGAAGGGCGAGAUCCCCCUCGAGGGGUGCACCGCCGACUGACCCUGAUCUUCUGUGAAGGGUUCGAGUUGGAGCAUGCCUGUCGGGACCCGAAAGAUGGUGAAGUAUGCCUGAGCGGGGUGAAGCCAGAGGAAACUCUGGUGAAGGCCCGCAGCGAUACUGACGUGCAAAUCGUUCGUCUGACUUGGGUAUAGGGACAAAAGACUAAUCGAACCAUCUAGUAGCUGGUUCCCUCCGAAGUUUCCCUCAGGAUAGCUGGAGCCCGUGUACGAGUUCUAUCGGGUAAAGCCAAUGAUUAGAGGCAUCGGGGGCGCAACGCCCUCGACCUAUUUUCAAACUUUAAGUAGGUAGGACGGCGCGGCUGCUCCGUUGAGCCGCGCCACAAAAUCGAGAGCUCCAAGUGGGCCAUUUUUGGUAAGCAGAACUGGCGAUGCGGGAUGAACCGGAAGCCGAGUUACGGUGCCCGACUGCGCGCUAACCCAGAACCCACAAAGGGUGUUGGUCGUUUAAGACAGCAGGACGGUGGUCAUGGAAGUCGAAAUCCGCUAAGGAAAGUGUAACAACUCACCUGCCGAAUCAACUAGCCCCGAAAAUGGAUGGCGCUGAAACGCAUGACCCACACCCGGCCAUCGGGGCGAGCGCCAUACCCCGAUGAGGAGAAGGGUGCGAGCCCGGGCGUAGCGGCCGCUGGUGCGGAUCUUGCAGGUAGUAGCAAAUAUUCAAAUGAGAACUUUGAAGGCCGAAGAGGGGAAAGGUUCCAUGUGAACGGCACUUGCACAUGGGUUAGCUGAUCCUAAAGAAAGGGGUGGCCCGUGAAAAUCCGGAGGACCGAGUGCCGCUCACGCCCGGUCGUACUCAUAACCUCAUCAGGUCUCCAAGGUGAACAGCCUCUGGCCGAUGGAACAAUGUAGGCAAGGGAAGUCGGCAAAACGGAUCCGUAACUUCGGGAAAAGGAUUGGCUCUGAGGGCUGGGCACGGGGGUCCACGCCCCAAACCCGUCGGCUGUCGGCGGACUGCUCGAGCUGCGUCUGUGGCGAGAGCGGGCCGCAGUGUGCCUGCUGGGGGACAGACCGGGAACGGCCCGCGCGCCGUUCCCGCGGCACGGGGGCCUUCCCCGGGCGUCGAACAGCCGACUCAGAACUGGUACAGACAAGGGGAAUCUGAUUGUUUAAUUAAAACAAAGCAUUGCGAUGGUCCCCGUAGAUGCUCACGCAAUGUGAUUUCUUCCCAGUGCUCUGAAUGUUAAAGUGAAUUCACCAAGUGUUGGAUUGUUCACCCACCAAUAGGGAACAUGAGCUGGGUUUAGACCGUCGUGAGACAUGUUAGUUUUACCCUACUGAUGACCGCGCUGCCAUAGUAAUUCAACCUAGUACGAGAGGAACCGUUGAUUCAUACAAUUGGUCAUCGCACGGAUUCGUCCCUCCGCCCCCAACACAUAAACCGCCCCGCCUAUAGCCCGGUGAGCGCUGACAAGGUUAGACUUUGUACUUGUGCAAAUCCGCGCUAUCGACGGCAAAACGGUCCGGCGCCCAUGACAUCUCUUACCAUCACUUGAAACCCUCACAACCCAGGGUGAAUAAAGUUCAGCCGAGUUUGUACGGGCGGAUCAUGACUUCUCUCGUAGAGCGCUCGUGUGAUCAGGCGAUGUCGCACUGGCGCCGGCCGUACAACGUCCCGGUGCCCACGCCGCAUGGCUUGGCAUCUAACGAAACGCCGCCGAGCAGACAUUCAGCGAGUUCGCACACGCGGAUCAUGUCAUCCGUCAGAGCGCGCCCGUGUGAUCGAGUGAUGUCGCGCCGGCGCCCCCGAGGCCGUCCGGGCGACUUCGGCGUCCCGGCCAGGCGCCCCCUCCCCAUCAUUUACCAUCACAUGAAAACCCCCCGGACAAAGUUUCACGGAUUUUGGAUGAUCGUAGCCAAUGUUCGGUAGGGGGAGUAUGCGUCGCCGUCGGGACGGCGGGUCGGUCGACUUUGGAAUCUCGCCGCGGGACCAUCGCGGACGGAUUUGUCAUCAUAAAAAACACCGAGGGGUGAAGUUUCAUAAAAAACGCACGAGUGGAUCGGGAGAUGGCACGUAGCGCGCCCGUCCCGUCGUGGGACGUCGAGCCGGCGCUGCCGGGGCCAUCCCGGCGACGGCGGCAUCCUGGCCCGGCGUCCCCGCCCCAUCGUUUGCCAUCACA